Molecule: long non-coding RNA, 295 nt
Organism: Telopea speciosissima
Lineage: Eukaryota; Viridiplantae; Streptophyta; Magnoliopsida; Proteales; Proteaceae
Exons: 2
Source: RefSeq, a predicted model, not a curated record
CCAAUAUCUGAACUUUUCAAGAAUAAUAAAUAAGCAUAUAACUAAAAAAAGGGUGUAUUUUAUAAUAUUUAUAAAUUCAUAUGGACCAUAUGAUGUGGGAUAUUUGAGAUUGAUUCUUUUGACACUUGAGUUCUGUUAAGGAUUUGGCAAAAGUCUCCCAUGAGGUGCCAAGCAACUCUCCUCUAGCCAGGCUUGGAACAGAAACCAAAGGCUAAAAGCUUGACACUGGGAGAGUAGAUGCAUAUACUUUUCUCUAGGGAUGGGCAAAAUGGCUUUAUGCUCGACUGAGAAGUAA